UGCGCAGGCGGGCUAAUAAGUCAGUGGUGAAAUCUUUCGGCUUAACCGGGAAACUGCCAUUGAUACUGUUAGUCUUGAGUUCGGUUGAGGUAGGCGGAAUGUGUAAUGUAGCGGUGAAAUGCUUAGAUAUUACACAGAACACCAAUUGCGUAGGCAGCUUACUAGACCGACACUGACGCUGAGGCACGAAAGCGUGGGGAGCGAACAGGAUUAGAUACCCUGGUAGUCC
This 229-nucleotide ribosomal RNA is filed under the name uncultured bacterium. RNAcentral's name for it is "partial 16S ribosomal RNA". It matches the Rfam family "Bacterial small subunit ribosomal RNA", at positions 568 to 796 of the family's 1533-position model. The record is from RNAcentral.